This is a long non-coding RNA of Homo sapiens (human), 1063 nucleotides long. Ensembl annotates it as long intergenic non-protein coding RNA 1609. Lineage: Eukaryota; Metazoa; Chordata; Mammalia; Primates; Hominidae. The record is from Ensembl.
GGGGGAAAGGGAGAGUAUCAUGGUUACAGCUGGAUCACCUAAGGCAGAGAGGGAAGGAACCAACAGGUAUAUGAAGAAGACUGUAUUUCCUCCUCAGGAAGAAAAAAUCACCUAUAACUGCGAUGAAUUUUAGCCAAAUUCAAGAGGCCUUGAAUUUGAAAUUGUCACUCAGAUUUGACUAAGUCAGGUAGAGUUGGUCAAAUCUGAUGGGAGAAAGACCAGAACAAACAACAACAACAAAAAUCUCAACAAUAUGAUCACUGGGUGCUCCAAUGGAGAGGAGCAUGGACUGGAUGAAUGACAGAAUAAGACUGACUUGAACAGACGAAACUCAAACUCUGGAAAAGAAGCCAGAUCACUCACUAUUACUAGUGAUAUAAAAAUUGCAGUGCUGGCAUUUGGAGGAUGUAGAGUCUCAGAAUAAUCCACAUCUUUCUACGUGCAGCCUAAGACCCUGACCCUCACCUUGACAGUCACACACAUUUGACACUGAAUGUGUCCAGUAUAUGGUCAUGUGCUGCCUAACAAUGUUUCAGUCAAUGAUGGACCACAUAUAUAAUGGUGCAACCAUAAGGUUAUACUAUGAUAUCUUUUUAUUUUCUAUGUUUAGAUAUGUUUAGAGAUAAAAAUACUUGCAUUACAUUGUAUUAUAACUGUUUACCAUAUUCAGUACAAUAACAUGAUGUUCAGGCUUGUAGCCUAAGAGCAACAGGUGAUACUAUAUAGCUUAGGUGUGUGGUAGGCUAUUCCAUCUAGGCUUGAAAGUACACUCUGAUGUAGAGUGUGUAAAUACACUCUGAUAUUUGUACAAUGAUGAAAUCACCUAAUGACACAUUUCUCAGAGAGUAUCGCCAUUGUUAAGAAACACGUGACUAUAUUACUAAACUUUUAAUGUUGUAUAAAUGGAGCAAUAUGUAAUUAUAAAUAAUUACAAAUGGUAACUAAGGUUGUUAUAAAUUUGUAAACUGUUUAGUUUAGAAAAAAAAUCUAGCAGUAAAAUUUAAUGUUCACUUACUCCAUCUUUCUUACUGAUAUUAAAUACUAUUUUGUUUCUCUUUGAAAA